CUAUAUAAGCCCCUCUGUUAACUUUUGUUCAAGCCUGUCUAGAUCUUUUAUCAGUCUAGAAAGAUGUUGGAGAAAAGACAUCAUCCUCUUCUAUAAUCUCCAUCUGUAAUUGGACUAACAACUGGACCAGUCAAUGCAGGCAACUUACUCUCCAUUCGACCUUGCAGGUCACACCAUGGUCUCAAGAGGGAAAAUGAGUGCUCUAUGGAUUGAACAGAAAAAGGUGAAUCAAAACUCCAACAUCUGUAUGAGGGUCUGGAUGGAUAAAGGAUGCCCACUGGAGCUGGAAAUGAUGGAUCAGGUGGAUCCACACUUGAACCAUCUGUAUGAUGAUCUGCACCCACUGGAUCUGUAAAUGGUGGUGCAGAAAGACACAGCACAUCAUUAUAUCGUUGGCUCCGCCCACUGGUGUUCAGUCUAAAGUAGUAGUUGUUGACAAUCAUAAAGUUGUAAUAACAGUAAGAUUGUGAUGUCAGACAAACAUUGUGCUGUUGCUGGCUGUGGGAAAUUAGUGUCUUUGUAAGGGUCGCAAAUAAUUUGAAAAUAUUUAUGUUUCUAAAUAUGCCCCCCUACCAUGAACUAAACUGGACUGUUGCAGAGACCAAGUGUAGUAGGGUACACUACUAUGCAGGUGACAUUCUUUUGUUUAUUGAAGCUAUGACAAAUAAUUUGUCUGUUUAGUUAAUGUUUUAUACAGUGUAACUGUACCUAAACAUUGUUCCUUGAGGUCCUCUGCUAUUUACAUUUUGUAUGUCUUCCUUAUUUAACACACCUUAUUCAAAUCAUCAGCUCAUUAGUAGAGAUCUUCAUGAACUGAACUGAGGCUGUGUCCAAAUGUUCACACUUGUUGUCUUUGCACUAGACUACUUACAUUACGGGGUUUUUUUUGUAUUUGGCCUAAGUAUUCUAGUGGGCGUGAAGAUCCCAAGCGUGCAUGUAGAAUUAUUCAUCCGAUGG
Molecule: non-coding RNA, 957 nt
Organism: Paramisgurnus dabryanus
Lineage: Eukaryota; Metazoa; Chordata; Actinopteri; Cypriniformes; Cobitidae
Source: RefSeq, a predicted model, not a curated record